UACGGGGGGGGCAAGCGUUGUUCGGAAUAACUGGGCUUAAAGGGCGCGUAGGCGGGCCGCCAAGUUCGAGGUGAAAUCCUCCGGCUCAACCGGAGAACUGCCUCGAAUACUGGAGGCCUUGAGGCGGGUAGGGGCAUGCGGAACUGUGGGUGGAGCGGUGAAAUGCGUUGAUAUCCACAGGAACUCCGGUGGCGAAGGCGGCAUGCUGGACCCGAUCUGACGCUGAGGCGCGAAAGCCAGGGGAGCAAACGGG
This 253-nucleotide ribosomal RNA is filed under the name uncultured bacterium. Its description in RNAcentral is "partial 16S ribosomal RNA". It matches the Rfam family "Bacterial small subunit ribosomal RNA", at positions 524 to 776 of the family's 1533-position model. The record is from RNAcentral.